UACAGAGGGGGCAAGCGUUAUUCGGAAUUAUUGGGCGUAAAGGGCGCGUAGGCGGUUUCGUAAGUAAGAUGUGUAAUCCCCGAGCUUAACUUGGGAACUGCAUCUUAGACUGCGAGGCUAGAGUGCUGGAGAGGGUGGUAGAAUUCCACGUGUAGCGGUGAAAUGCGUAGAGAUGUGGAGGAAUACCAGUGGCGAAGGCGGCCACCUGGACAGUAACUGACGCUGAGGCGCGAAAGUGUGGGUAG
This 245-nucleotide ribosomal RNA is filed under the name uncultured bacterium. RNAcentral describes it as "partial 16S ribosomal RNA". It matches the Rfam family "Bacterial small subunit ribosomal RNA", at positions 524 to 768 of the family's 1533-position model. The record is from RNAcentral.